AUUAAUAAAGGGGCCCACAAUCAAGUACCUAGUCUUUACUCUUGAACGUUUAGAAAAUGAAAUGCGAAUUUCAACAUCGUGGAAUGCUGCAUUUGGCUUGUCAGCUGCAAAAAUAUUCGCGGGUGCACCAAUUUUAAGUAACCACAUUCAAACUGCACAUUAUUUCUCCAACAGUAGAUGUUGAAUGUAAUACGCCUUUGUUUAUUGAUUACUCAUUGCUUGUGUGGUAGAUAUAAAGUUAGAGCGAGAUCGCAAGUUCAUUAUGAGCGGCGCAUUUGCAAUCCCCGUACUUUCACCUAUGCAAGUACUUAGCUGUCACUAGUGCACAUGCAAUAGCUAUUAAUUUCACUCGCGCAACCAUCAAUCAAGUUUCUUUAACGUGGUGGGAACUGGGUGUAUUAUACGAAUAGCUAGGCAUACCUGUUGUGUCGUCGACGUCAAACUUGAAGUAGGAAACGUUCAAGAGUCCCGAGUCCUGGUGCACGUACAUCAUGUCGGGGUUGAGGCGCGUGAGGUGCAGCACGUACUCCGCGAAGCUGGACAGCGACAGCUGCAGGGUCAGCAUCUUGCGGAACGUCCAGUAGUCGGUGGGCGCGGCGAACGUCGCCCCCGCCCACUCGCGGAGCAUUCCCUUCGGCACCAUCGUGGCUUGGACCUGUCAAAUAAACAAUUUGAAAUUUUCCAUGAAUAGUGUACACAUAUAGUCAUAGUGCUUUAGUCUAAUUCUUUUGUCCGUAGAUCUUGUAGGUUGUAUGAUGCUAAGUUCUCUAAUGCUGACAUAUUUUGCUUGUCACUUGUAGCAUAUAGAAAAGCUAUUUUAAAGUAUUUAUAAGGUAAUUUAGUCUGAUGACUAUUAUAGUUUUAUAUUGUAAGUUGAUGUAUAAAAUAAUAUGUGCGUAUUGUGUUGGUUUUGUUUCUAAAUUUCUCUUCUCUGUUCACUUUCUACUUAUAUGUGAUUUUGAUUGUGGAAACAUAUUUGGUUAUUGUUUUAGCUAUAUUUUUUAAAAUAUUAUAUGUUUGUAUUGUACUAUUUGUUACCAAAUAAAUAAAUAAAUAUUUGUUGGCUAAAAAUAAAUUAAAGAGGAAAGUUUUCGAAAACA
Bombyx mori (domestic silkworm) is the source of this 1100-nucleotide long non-coding RNA. RefSeq lists it as uncharacterized. The record is from RefSeq and is a predicted model, not a curated record. The transcript is spliced from 2 exons. NCBI's taxonomy places the organism in Eukaryota, Metazoa, Arthropoda, Insecta, Lepidoptera, Bombycidae.